AUUGAACGCUGGCGGCAGGCCUAACACAUGCAAGUCGAACGGUAGCACAGAGAGCUUGCUCUCGGGUGACGAGUGGCGGACGGGUGAGUAACGUCUGGGAAACUGCCCGAUGGAGGGGGAUAACUACUGGAAACGGUAGCUACUACCGCAUAACGUCGCAAGACCAAAGUGGGGGACCUUCGGGCCUCACACCAUCGGAUGUGCCCAGAUGGGGUUAGCUAGUAAGUGGGGUAAUGGCUCACCUAGGCGACGAUCCCUAGCUGGUCUGGGAGGAUGACCAGCCACACUGGAACUGAGACACGGUCCAGACUCCUACGGGAGGCAGCAGUGGGGAAUAUUGCACAAUGGGCGCAAGCCUGAUGCAGCCAUGCCGCGUGUAUGAAGAAGGCCUUCGGGUUGUAAAGUACUUUCAGCGGGGAGGAAGGCGGUGAAGUUAAUAACUUCACCGAUUGACGUUACCCGCAGAAGAAGCACCGGCUAACUCCGUGCCAGCAGCCGCAGUAA
RNAcentral lists this ribosomal RNA (504 nucleotides) under uncultured bacterium. Its description in RNAcentral is "partial 16S ribosomal RNA". It matches the Rfam family "Bacterial small subunit ribosomal RNA", at positions 30 to 523 of the family's 1533-position model. The record is from RNAcentral.